RNAcentral lists this microRNA (22 nucleotides) under Cavia porcellus (domestic guinea pig). RNAcentral's name for it is "cpo-miR-653-5p". Its record names the gene cpo-miR-653-5p. Lineage: Eukaryota; Metazoa; Chordata; Mammalia; Rodentia; Caviidae. The record is from miRBase by way of RNAcentral.
UUGAAACACUCUCUACUGAACC